UUAACGGUAGAAAUGGAUGAA
This 21-nucleotide microRNA is filed under the name Gossypium raimondii (Peruvian cotton). RNAcentral describes it as "gra-miR7502e". The record is from miRBase by way of RNAcentral. Lineage: Eukaryota; Viridiplantae; Streptophyta; Magnoliopsida; Malvales; Malvaceae.